CGAGGUAAACAAACCGAUCGAUUCCUGAUCACCGUUCUUGUCGAUCGGAAAAUCAAAAUACCAGCGUGAUAUUGCCGCGAAGAUGAAGCAGUUAUGUUACUUGAUUCGUACUUCAUAUUCGAGUCGAAGCUUGGGUGGCACAGGUUAUUUCUUGCGGUGGAAUCGACGAGGGGAAUUCGAACACUAGUUGUAGUGUUUGAAUUGUUGAAAGAAAUGGUCGCAUGAGGAUUAUUUACCUGCUUGAUUUAUAUCGGUUACGCUUCAUGUUGACAAGUCCCUCAAAAUGGCGGCCAAACUUGGAGAUUGCCGAAAAUUAGCAUUAGAUUCCAUCCACCAAAACCACCUUGGUCGAGAGGGACUGAGAUGGAAUGAUGGACAACUCAUGACUUGUUAUACUAAUUGAAAAUUACGAAGCUACGAUAACAUGCCGACUUAUCCCGAUGAUCUAAGUGUAUUAUUUGUUUGGGAAAUUGCGUCAAAACUUUUUACUCAAGAAAUGACCAGACUGGAACCUCUAUAAGUGUGUCUGCUUGUUUUGAGUGGGGAUGGAAGAAAAGGAGUCAUGCCGCUUAUCUGAUUUAUUAAACCAGAUUUGUUCUGUUUAUACAUGAGUAGAACUACCUUGUUCUCUGAAAAAAAUAAAAUUUCUCGCAUUUUUAUCUGUGUUUUGCAGUCAAACUUCCUUGUGUCUUGGACAAGAAAUCUUAUUUUCUUGAAAACAAAAUCUUUGUUUCCAGCCUUCUGUAAUAGGUAAAUAUAACAGUGUAAGAUG
Non-coding RNA from Pocillopora verrucosa, 772 nucleotides. Lineage: Eukaryota; Metazoa; Cnidaria; Anthozoa; Scleractinia; Pocilloporidae. The record is from RefSeq and is a predicted model, not a curated record.